CUGGCGUGCAGUGGCACCAUCUGGGCUCAUUGCAACCUCUGCCUCCCGGGUUUGAGAAAUUCUCCUGCCUCAGUCUCCUGAGUAUCUGGGAUUACAGGCACCCGCCACCACGCCUGGCUAAUUUUUUAAAUAUUUUUAGUAGAGACAGGGUUUCACCAUGUUGACCAAGCUAGCCUCAAACUCCUGACCUCAGGUGAUCUACCCACCUUGGCUUCACAAAGUGCUGGGAUUACAGGCAUGGGCCACUUUUCUAUUUGUUUAUUUUUGUGUUGGUUUUUCUAUUUUUGGUGUUUCUGGAUCAUGGACUUUGAAAAACUUCCUGGCUUAGCAAAUUAGUGUCCUUGUUUCAGUAGCUUCUGCUUGAAGAUUUCUGCUGUAGGCAAUGAGCCAACUGGCCAGAAAAUAUCCAGUUAUGCUCUGCAGGUUCAUGGUGGAUGGGGACUUUCACUGUUGUUUAGAGAAACCAUUGAGUGGAUAACGUUCCAAACAGCAAAAUCAAAUGGGGAUUCUGUACACUCGGGAGUGUCGGCUCUGGACAAAUUAGGUUGCACUUGAUUGUAAGAAGCCAGGCUUUAUUAAAAUAGAAUAUAAAUAUUAACAGAAACGGACUGCUUCUAAUCCCCACUACCGUUGGCCAGGGAGGCCUCUCUUCAGGUUUUCUGAAUGGAACUAAAUAAGGAGCCCAUGUUACCGCGGAAAGGGCACUGUGAUUAGGAGCCUUUCAUGAGCUUCCAUGAACGUCUAGGGCUUGGAAACUUCAUUUUCAAAAUAAGGCUGUUGGAUUAGAUGAUUUUCCCAACCCCUAACCCUCUGUGUUAAUGAAUGGACUGACUCUAUAAUCAUGUUCCUUGGACAUUUCUAUGGAAACACUGAGCCAUCAUAAGGGAGGCCUUCAUUCUGAUGUAACAAAGCCAGCUGUGUCCACAUGAGAACAUUGGCAAGAGUGGGGACAUGGAAGCUGUGUUCAGGCCGGUCCACGCUGGGUGACCCAUGUGACCUGCUGCUUAGCAAUUCCUUGUCACCAUCUUCCCUUCUCAGCCUCUUUUUUCAUGCUAACAGGCAUAAAUGAAAUGAUAAAAGUUUGAGCUCUUCUCGUGGAAUUCUCGUGAUACAGAUAUGUGCUACAUGUUCAUCAUCUCGUUGGUCUUCACCAUGAUAACUGUGGAGUAAGAAUUAUAAGCAGGUCACAGAUUAGGGACUUGAGAUUGACAGUUUGGCUUCCCUGUUCUGGGUGGCAAAGCCUGUGGAGUACUCACCUACCUGCUGCAUGAAGGCAGCAUGGAGGGACUGUGGUGGAUUAUCUGCAAAGAUGGCCAAAAUUCUCUCAUCCCUGCAGGCACAUACAAGAAUGAGGAAGAAAGAUGAAGAAUGAGGAGGAAGAAGGAAGGAACGAGAGAGAGGUUGUUGCAUGGCAUAAGUAAAGUGACAGUUAUAGGAUACAUGCAACUUUUCAGUGACAAAGAUCUGUGCAGCAUCGACAGUACUGCCUAAUGAGGUUUCACCAUAAUGAAGUAUCACAACCAGUUUACAGACCAGAAAACUGAGACACAGGAAGGGGUGGUGACUUGAGCAAGGUGCAUCAGCUGGAAAUUGAAGUAUACAGAAUGCUUAUUUGGUCUACUCAGUAUCAUCCUAAAUGUAUGUACCAAUGCUUAGGAGUUUGCAGUUCACCCGCAAACCUCAGCGAUCCAAGCUCCCCUGGAUGACCAUCACUCACCAAGAAAAGAGCAAUAACAGGACCUGUUUUGCUAAUCCAGGACUGUUCUCCAGCACUAACUCUAAAUAAUCCCUUCUGCUAGAGUCCACUUUCUGGAACCUGUUGUGAGUAUUGUGAAUUGUUCUCCAACCUCUAUUCUAGUUAUCUCAUUUCCAUUGAGACUAGCAAAAGCACUUGCUUGAGAUUCUGUGUUCAAGUUUCAACUUUAGCAACUCACUUUUCCUUUAGGCCUCCGUUUUCAACGUUUCCCAAACUUGGUCCGUUGUGUGAGCUGGCUGAUAAAAGUUCCAGGUAACCUUCCUUGUUCUCAAGGUCCAUUUUCCAGGAAAAUCUGAGUCAUGGUGCUGGGGAGGACACUUAAGUACAUCAGUCAAUCAGAUGAUUAUUAAAUUUAGGAAAUAGUAGAUCAACUGGAUUAACUGGAUUAAAAUGCAGAAUCCCAGGCCCCAGCCCAGACCUACUGAACCAGCAUCUGCUCUUUAACAAGAGCCCCAUGUGAUGUGUGGGACAGAAAACUUUGUGAAGCACAGGGCUAGACAGUCUCUAAAGUCUUCUGCAGAUCAGAAACGCAGCAAUUCUGAGGUUUUCUUCAAUUUUCUAAUGUUAUUUCCAGCUCUUUCCCCUCUCUUCUUUCCUUGAUAUGCUGAGGAAAACUUUCUCUGUGAUAAGCAGAGUAGGUGUCUUGUUCUGUGAAUUUCUAAUGUCUCUGCAAGGGCUUCAUAUGUUGAAGGAAGUUGGGACUCAGGGGGUUAACUGCAAAACACAUUACCAUAGGACAGCUGCCACGGCAUCACAUUCUAAAAUCUGAUAAAUGAAAAAUGGGCAUGGUAUCAAAUUUAAUCACAUUUGUAUUCAGAUGUUGUUGAGAGCAGACACUGAUUUAUGAACUAGCAACAGACACCAGAUUUCCUGCCUAUGUUAUAUACAUAUGAAUGGGUGGACGGAUGGAUAGAUAAACAGACAGUGAAAUUAUGUUGCAAAUUACAUGGCACCAGACCUGUUUAUAACCUAGAUCUCAUCAAACUAAUAUUAAAAACUACUACAGAUAUAUUUUUUUUUCCUGGGCAGUAGCUGGUGGUCUUACUUUUACCCUGAAAAACAGACUUCUUUCAAAGGAUUCUCUUUCUUAAUUUGUGCAGCAUUGAAAAUGCUUCUGCUUUGCUCAGUAGAUAGCAUUAUCAUAUUUAUAUACAGAAAAAUGUUCUUUAUGGGAUGGAAAAGGAUAAAGGGAUGUUCAAACCAUUGCUGCGUUCUGUUGCGCACCCUCCCACUCCCUGACAACUCCGUUAAAACAUCAACAGUACAAGGGGCCACUGUAUAUUUCUGGGAUUACACACCAAGAUCUAGGCUUUUAGAGGACCUGUGAAGGGCUGAGGUGGAAGAGGAGAACAUUCAACAUGGAUUAAUAAUAAAAAAAUUAAGCAACUUUCCUCUCAGUUCAGCAAAGUAGGGAGAUCUAGGUUCAGUGUUUCUUGAUAUUUACAGUUUUGAAGGUAAAUCACUUGGCUGAUGAGGUUCUCUAUUUUGGGGCAGAUACUGCUUAAUAUCACCAGAGACAUCUAGCCAUCUUCGCAGUAUGUUUUCUUUACUACGCCUUUUCCUUGUAGAGACUUCCUGUAUUUGGCAAAUUUAAUCAAAUUUUAUUUAUCUUUCAGAGGUCACAUAGGUACAUUCACUCACUUUCAACCAAUAUUUCUUAAGACUGUGUUACGCUGUGCACAGGAGACAAGACACAGAAAUAGAUGACCCAUGAUUUGUCUUCUUUUUAUUUAAAAAAAAAAAAGAAGAAGAAGCUCUGUAUCUGUGAACAAGUCAGAUAGACACAGAUGAUUUCAGCAUAAUUAGGAGGAAUCACUGAGCUCAGCCCAGGGAGCUAGACUAGCUCAGAGGAGUACCUGAUUCACACUAGGAAGGUAUUGGCACAGGCUUCCUGGAAGUGGAGACACUGAAUGGAAUUCUAAAGGAUGUGAUACCUUCUACAUGUUCUUUAAGAUACAGGAUGGUGGGUGUUCUUAAUGGAGAAGUAGGAGAAAAGGGUUUUCCUGGUGUGAGAAACAAUGGAGAUUAGAAAAAGCAUGAUAAUCAGAGGACAAUUCACAGCUGUGGUAUGACUGGAAUAAAACCAUCCAUCCUCCAGAUGCCAGGAGGCAGGCACAACAGUCACUGUCCUGUGGCCUUCAUUCCUUGGGGAAAACACCACAAUGGUCAUCACCUGAACAAAUGGAGUGGGGAGAUGUGGAAGUGAAAGAAAGGGAACGCUGAAGAAGACAGUAUCAGAGACCCAGUAGCAAUGAAACCUCAAUUGGCACAGAGGAUUUGGGAAGAAGGACCCAGAUUUGAGUAUUUUCAGCUCUAGGUGCUGAAGAUGUUCAUGACCAAAUAGACAUGGUAGUUGAGGGAAAGAGGGUUUUAGGGAGCCCUUCUCCUUGGAAUUCUAGGUAAGUGAUGAUGCUAUUUACUAAGAGAAGACAUCCAGAAGAAGGAGCUUGCAUUGUCUUUAUUUUGAUUUUGUUUUGGUGGAAUUGAGAAUACAAUGUAUUAUUACUGUGGAGGAGGUGGAAAUAAUGCCAACUUAAACCUUCCCUCCCCUAGGGAGCUCUCCCUAACAAUCUGGGCUGGAAAGAGUGUGUUCCUUUAGGAAACAAAGCAUGUAUUACCCAUUGAGAAUCCAUUAUUACUUUGAAUUUUUAGUUUUGUUUUCAUGUGUUGCUUUAUCUUCUUAAUUAAAUUAUCUCUUCUAGGGAGAAGACAUCUUACUCUUAUUGGAUCAUGCACAGUGCCUGAAGCAUUCUGUUGCAUGUAGAAGGUAUUGGUGGAUGUUUGUUAAUUGAUUUGUUGAAUUUUUUUUCACUGAACACAUUCCCAAGAAACAGCCAAACCCAGAGUAAGGAAACCAUCUGGCAAGAACCGCUCAAGAGAAUGCUUCUUGGCUCUCACAUCUUAAAGGUCUUAAAAUAGCUAACAUUUAUUGAACAUUUUACUAUAUGCCAGGUAUUAUGGGCUAAGCCCAUUAUAUAUGUGAUCUCAUAUAAUUAAUCUUCAAAACAAUCUUGUGUCAUAAAUGCUACAAAUACUUUGAUUUUAAAACUGAUGAAAAUGAGAUUCAGGGAGAUUGUCAUUUUAUUUGCAGUCAGUAAAUUGCAGAUGUAAGAUUCAAAACCAGACUUCACAUCUACCGACUUCAGUGACCCUGAAAUUUGUUCACAGAGAGCAUUUAACAUAACUGUCUUCAUCAUCUCCUUCUCUACAUUAAAAAUUAUGGGUAAGUCUCUUGCUUUUCCAGUCUUCAUUGCUUUUCUAGUCUUAGAAAUAUUAUACAAAGACAAGAAAUACAAGAGACUUACUCAUAGCUAUGUGUCCAGAGCUAGAGUUAGAAUUCGCAUCUAGAUCUUGAGACAGGUAACUUCUUACUCUACUGCGUUGGUUUUAAGACAAAUCUGUUGAGGCAAACUUUUUGCUGGGCACUGUAGGCAACAGAAAGAAACUGAGGGUCUGCUAUUUGUCUCCAGAGGCCUUACAAACUGGUAGAAGAUGCAUAACAGAAGAGCUUAUGAAGUUAAAGAUGACAGCAUAGCAGCACUGGUGAGAUCCUUUUAGACAUAACAUGGUAGGAAGGACUGUUUGACAAAGUGAAUGCCUGUCUUUCAGAAUAUACAGGGAGGUGUGAUGUACCCAUUAUCACAAGCAGAUGGAAUCCCUAUAGAGUCGGAUCUCAUCUACAUAUCACCUAUUAUAUGUAGUUAUUGAUGGAUAAAUACUUCAACAACUAAAGGCAGAAAGAGAGCAGGUGGGCAUAGGAGUUAGUAAACAUCUCACUGCUAUUGUUUUUCAAGGUGAAGCUAGAGAAGAAGAUUCCUAAGAUGUAGGAGGAAAUUAUCAUACUGAGUAAGAGGGUGCAAUUUUGGAAGGUUGGACUUGAUGACCUCUCCAGCAUUAAGGGUGAAUGAUUCUUUCUAGGGAUUUGGUUUGUUGCCAGAGAGCCUGGCUACCUGCUAUUUAGUUGCUUUGUUGAUUAGCAAAUUUCCUCUGAAAUAUUCCUCACAUUCAUGAGCCCCCUUCCUGGGGUAGGUGGACCCAGAAAAUGUUUUCUCCCAUUUUAGUUGGCCAUGUGUUUGAAACUCAGAUGGACCUAAGUCUUUCAGCAUCAUUGUCACUACUGUAUGUCUAUCCAUAAAAAGAAGGCAUAAGACUCUCUGUAGUAUCACGAAGUUAGCCAUUUGGGAUUGCAAAAACUUUCCUCUUUCCAUUGGAGAGAAAUAGUUUAGAUUAGAUGGUGGAGCCCCUACCACAUCUCCCAAAAUUUAAAUUAUAACAUGAACAGUAAUUUAGGUCUGAUUUUAAUAUUUUGUCAUUCUUAAACCUAAUAAAAGCUACAUCUUCCUAAAGACCCUCCUAAUUUUUAUUAUGGACAGUUCACAAAGACGUUAUUGGUGAUUCAAUCUUGAGUCAUGAAAAGUCAACCUUGAGCCACAAAAAGUCAACCUUGAGCCAAGCAGAUUGGAGAGUCAUACAUGCCAUUCCUGGGACCAUCAAAAAUGGCAGAGGUCACACAAAAAGGCAAAACUUUUAAGAGGUGUUUUAAACGUCGUAUGGGCCAAAGAGAAGCUGGAUUUCCUAUUGGAGUCACCUGUAACACACGUGUGACGAAAUUGGCCUGUGAGGACAAGGCAGUGAGCAGAGAGGACAGCAGUCCUUAUGAGAUCAAGCUCUAAGGUGAGGUUGCAGGAUCUGAAGGCCAGCUCCCCUGCUUGCUCACUGUAUGACUUUAGGCAAGUCAUUUUACUUCUGAAUGAUUCAUAUUGGAAGUAAAAUAUAUGAUUGGUUAAAAUAGUUUCUAAAUUUAUUAUGGGGAUUAAAUGGACCAAUAUACUCGAAGCUUUUCAGACAGAGUCUGGCGCAAAGUAAGCACUUAGAAAAAUGUAAGCUUUUAUUAUAAUAGAAACUAUUAAUAUAAUAAUUAUUCCUGGGUGUAAAAUUAGGGAAAAUCAUUAGAAUAGAAAGGAAGAAAGAAACAAGAAUCAGAAUAGGAGCAAGAGAGAUUUCAAGGAAGGGGUAAGGAUGUUUGGGAGAUACUAGUUUUCCCCUAGACUGGUAUCCAAACUAGAUUUUAAAAUCUUGAGAUAGGGCCUUGUCUUUUAUGAUGGGCAGGAUUUCUUUGCUCUUAGCAUUGAUAAAAUGUGGCAUGACCAGUGGCUGGUUGAAUGAUGUAUAGCUCCAGCUGGAAUCAAGAUCACAGUAUGCUGACCUCUGAACUUUGUAAGAUUGCAAUGAUUACUCUUCUUCCACUCAGAGGCUCAUUAGUGUCAAGCCAUGGUUGUCCCUGUUUUGAUGAGUAUUCACCACCUGGCUACAUGUGACCUGGCUUCUGGUUAUAACCAUACCAGCCUGCAUGACUUCCCAUAGCAUGCUGCCAUCAGACACUGCUCUCCCAUCUUCUGCAACAUGAGAUAACUUUUCACAAUUGGGGCAUGAGGGGCAGUGCUAGUGGAUACAACAUUUUAUGUCAAAUCAGGGGUUCUGCAAAAUGCCCCUGGUUAAUUUAGUCCAGAGUCUAAUGUAAAAAGGUAUCUGAGUAGCACAAAAUUGCAUAUAUAAUUGUUUUCCAUCAUUAUUUUAUAACUUUCCUCAAUAUCAUCCAGGUAUCCUAGACACAUUUGGAGAAUUCACCUGAGCUACAGGAUGUGGUAAGAUUUGGUGAGCAGGUGGUGAUUCUUACAGAAUCCCUCACACAUUCAUGCACAGAACUUCCCCAGCACACUCCCAGGUAGGACCACUUCCCUCUUCAUUGUGCAAAGAUUCACCACUGGUUCCAGCCUUCUCUGGCACUUUUAAGAUAUGCAUCAGGUUUUAUUCAUCUCUGAUUUUCUAGCCUCUGGCAGACUACCUGGUGUACCAGAGGCUUUGUAAGUAAUAGUUAAAUAAAGAGAAAACAUUAAAGCAACAUUGAAGGAAGAGGGUUAACCAGACUACAGAUUUGAGACCUCUAUCUCAGAGGGCCAACAGUCAUGUUGAUGUUUUCAUGCUUUCUUGGAUAUAAAAGUCACACUACACUUUCCCUCUCGGUGACCAUGUACAAAGGUUCAUUUAUAAUUAAUAGACAAAGUCUUUAAUAAAGCAAACCAAAUGUCAUCUUUCCUUUUUUCUGCAAUAUGAAGUCAUUAUUUCCACUGGAUGAAAGCACUUUUGACCUAUAAAAAUAAAAAAGUGAGAUGUUAGGUGACUUCAGUGCAUAAAAAUACUGUUUCUUGUUACCAAUAAUAUAUACUCAACCAUCGUCUUCAUCUUUAUCAUGGUCUCCUGGGGCAAACUGAAUCUGAGUUAGCAGGGUUUAAUAAAAGUUAUUCUGAACAUCUGGGUCAUUGUAGAGACACAUAUUGAAAAUUGAAACACUUUAUAUGUCAACAGAUGUUCUAGAAGAAGCCUGUCUAUUUUCUCUUAUUCAUUUAUGAGUCCAAGGAGAGGAAAAGUUCUUUGUUCAUCUCUCCAUCCAUGAUAUUAUGCUCCAUGCCUGAACCUCACCUAAUGCCUACUAUGUUUUAC
This 8257-nucleotide long non-coding RNA is filed under the name Homo sapiens (human). Its description in RNAcentral is "HSALNT0026579". The record is from RNAcentral. Lineage: Eukaryota; Metazoa; Chordata; Mammalia; Primates; Hominidae.